RNAcentral lists this ribosomal RNA (253 nucleotides) under uncultured bacterium. RNAcentral's name for it is "partial 16S ribosomal RNA". It matches the Rfam family "Bacterial small subunit ribosomal RNA", at positions 524 to 776 of the family's 1533-position model. The record is from RNAcentral.
UACAGAGGGGGCAAGCGUUGUUCGGAAUUACUGGGCGUAAAGGGCGCGUAGGUGGCCUUCUAAGUCGAACGUGAAAUCCCUGGGCUCAACCCAGGAACUGCGUCCGAUACUGGAUGGCUUGAAUCCGGGAGAGGGAUGCAGAAUUCCAGGUGUAGCGGUGAAAUGCGUAGAUAUCUGGAGGAAUACCGGUGGCGAAGGCGGCAUCCUGGACCGGCAUUGACGCUGAGGAGCGAAAGCCAGGGGAGCAAACGGG